Molecule: non-coding RNA, 158 nt
Organism: Triticum urartu
Lineage: Eukaryota; Viridiplantae; Streptophyta; Magnoliopsida; Poales; Poaceae
Source: Rfam
AUAGUACUCCCUCUGUCCCAAAAUUCUUGUCUUAGAUUUGUCUAGAUACGGAUAUAUCAAGUCAGGUUUUAGUAUUAGAUGCAUCCGUAUGUAGACUCUUGAUAUAUCCGUAUCUAGACAAAUCUAAGACAAGAAUUUUGGGACGGAGGGAGUACAAA